This 55-nucleotide microRNA precursor is filed under the name Ictalurus punctatus (channel catfish). Its description in RNAcentral is "microRNA ipu-mir-7550 precursor". Lineage: Eukaryota; Metazoa; Chordata; Actinopteri; Siluriformes; Ictaluridae. The record is from miRBase by way of RNAcentral.
AUCCGGCUCGAAGGACCAAUUUUGUAGAGGAGUUAGCUGGUUCUUAGGUGAAUUU